This is a long non-coding RNA of Epinephelus moara (kelp grouper), 1709 nucleotides long. RefSeq lists it as uncharacterized. The record is from RefSeq and is a predicted model, not a curated record. The transcript has 2 exons. NCBI's taxonomy places the organism in Eukaryota, Metazoa, Chordata, Actinopteri, Perciformes, Serranidae.
UCACACAGCCAUCAAUCAUGAUGUCACAUCCUCCUUUUUAUAACUUUAAAUAACCAAUUAAACCCAAACUGAUUGACCCAAGUUCACAAAAAGAGUCUUUGGGAAAAAUUUCUGUUCUUUGAGUUUUCAGUUUGGCUCCCAUCCGCUAACAUGGAGGGGGCGGGGUUUAUGACCUGUGCUGCAGCCAGCCACCAGGGGGAGAUUCAGAUGUUUUGGCUUCAAUUUUAGGGAACUAUCAUGUUGUCCAUCUUUAUACACAGUCUGUGGUUUGCGCAAGGAGCUUUUUUUGAACCAUAUUUACCGCUAUUGUUAGGUGGCGACUUCUAGUGGCCGUAGUCAUUAUGAUGGGAGAUAAGACAGGAAGUCAGCUGAUGCCGUAUAAAGAGCGACAAAGUGUGUGUAGACAGGAAGUGGAUGAAACACAUGACUUUGACCUAGGAGGUCACUGUGUCCCGUCUGAAACCAAAAGUCAGCGUUUUUUAACCGACGUACGUAAGUUAACCUACGUCAGGUACACACAGGGCUGAGCAGUGUUUACAACAUUAAGAUACCAGAACUCUUAAAGUGAUACUCAACCAAUAAAGAACGUCAUUUGAUACCUUUUUCUACGUCAUUUCGAUAAUUAUGUGAAUGGAAGCUUUAAGUUGCCUAAAUCGUCACCAAAGUUUCUAAUGCUUCGGUGGCGUGUCGGCACACUGACCACCGCGCUCGUCUUCAUCGCACCAGACUGUUUGGGUUUUGUGGGCCAAUGACACGUCACAUUAAAUCAAAGAACGCAGUGAUUGGCUUCGAGCAAAACCAUAAAGGAUCAAAUGCAGGUAUGAUUUGACUUAAGGAGAUUUGAUCCUACCUGGUACUGAGUUAUUUCAGUCGAUAAGAGUUCAGAUACUCAGCCCUACGUACGGAACAUACUUUGAGCUCCAGUGUGUCGGAUUUAAAUCUAAUCUAAUGGUUGUGUUCUCGUUACCUCAGAAUGAGACGAACUCUGUAGAUGAGGACCUGCUCCCUAUGUAGACAUAAACAUCUCAUUCUGAGGGAACGAGAACACAACAUGAGAUCAGGUUUGGAUUGGACACACUGGAGCUUUAAGUUCUGUCAUUAAGGUGUGAGGAAGUGUCGAUCUGUAAUUUCAGAAACGCUCCUGUGGGUGGUGUUAAAGAGGAGGAACAAACCACCUGUGAGGUCGGACAUGUUGGAGGACCUUUAGUUUUCAGACAGAGCAGAAAAUAUUGGAGCAGGUUAGAAUGAUGUCAGGUGUGUUUAAGAAGCAUCUCCGAGCUUUUGACAUUAAAGGCCUUCGCACAUUGAGUCUGUUUUGUCGCAUGUCCAUAAAUAAGUACGACCUCACAUUGUGUCAUGUUCACACUCUGAGCCCAGCAGUUUCACCCGUCAUUAAACAUCGUGGAACAGCUUCAGUUUCCUGCGUUUUUCGCUUCCGUCAGAGUCUUUAGAGACGUCUGACCUCUAAUCAGUGAAGACAAUGUCAGAUAGUGACAUUCAGGAUGAUGAUGAUGACGAGGAGGAGGAUGUGGACCACACAUAGCUCCGCCCCUUCAUGCAGCUGUGGUGACAAAUGAAAGAUGGGGAGGAAGUGAUGUCAGAUAGGUAACUCCAGUAACGAGAGAGAGGAAAUGUGUCUUUUCAUUUUGUCACGUGUUGUGAAUUUUCACACCAGAAGAAUAAAACACAUCUCAAUCUGUGUGUAACAA